This 400-nucleotide ribosomal RNA is filed under the name uncultured archaeon. RNAcentral's name for it is "bacterial SSU rRNA". It matches the Rfam family "Archaeal small subunit ribosomal RNA", at positions 6 to 410 of the family's 1478-position model. The record is from RNAcentral.
GGUUGAUCCUGCCGGAGGUCACUGCUAUUGGGAUCCGACUAAGCCAUGCGAGUCGAGAGGGUUCGGCCCUCGGCAGACGGCUCAGUAACACGUGGAUAAUCUGCCCUUAGGUGGAGGAUAACCUCGGGAAACUGAGAAUAAUACUCCAUAGAUCUUGGAUGUUGGAAUGCACUUAGAUUGAAAGUUCCGACGCCUAAGGAUGAGUCUGCGGACUAUCAGGUAGUAGUUAGGGUAAAGACCUAACUAGCCUACGACGGAUACGGGUUGUGAGAGCAAUAACCCGGAGACGAUAUCUGAGACACGAUAUCGGGCCCUACGGGGCGCAGCAGGCGCGAAACCUUCACAAUGUGCGAAAGCACGAUGAGGGGAUCCCAAGUGCUUGCUCGUAAGAGUAAGCUGU